Molecule: transfer RNA, 67 nt
Filed under: Marmota monax (woodchuck)
Lineage: Eukaryota; Metazoa; Chordata; Mammalia; Rodentia; Sciuridae
Description: tRNA.Ala
Rfam family: tRNA
About the family: Transfer RNA (tRNA) molecules are approximately 80 nucleotides in length. Their secondary structure includes four short double-helical elements and three loops (D, anti-codon, and T loops).
Source: RNAcentral
GGGUGUAGCUCAGUGGUAGAGUGUUUGCCUAGCAUGCAUGAGGCCCUGAGUUCAACUCCAGUGCCCA